Astyanax mexicanus (Mexican tetra) is the source of this 83-nucleotide small nucleolar RNA. The record is from Ensembl. NCBI's taxonomy places the organism in Eukaryota, Metazoa, Chordata, Actinopteri, Characiformes, Acestrorhamphidae.
GUUGUCAGUGAUGUUCCACAUUACCUACAUUGCUUGAGUUUAACUACCAUGAGAAAACUUCAUGCACUACCAUCUGAGACAGC